This 253-nucleotide ribosomal RNA is filed under the name uncultured bacterium. Its description in RNAcentral is "partial 16S ribosomal RNA". It matches the Rfam family "Bacterial small subunit ribosomal RNA", at positions 524 to 776 of the family's 1533-position model. The record is from RNAcentral.
UACGUAGGGGGCAAGCGUUGUCCGGAAUCAUUGGGCGUAAAGAGCGUGUAGGCGGUCCGGUAAGUCGGCUGUGAAAGUCCAGGGCUCAACCCUGGGAUGCCGGUCGAUACUGCCGGACUAGGGUUCGGAAGAGGCGAGUGGAAUUCCCGGUGUAGCGGUGAAAUGCGCAGAUAUCGGGAGGAACACCUAUGGCGAAGGCAGCUCGCUGGGACGUUACUGACGCUGAGACGCGAAAGCGUGGGGAGCAAACAGG